This 2951-nucleotide long non-coding RNA is filed under the name Triticum aestivum (bread wheat). RNAcentral's name for it is "long non-coding RNA (TAES_LNC011829)". The record is from RNAcentral. Lineage: Eukaryota; Viridiplantae; Streptophyta; Magnoliopsida; Poales; Poaceae.
AUCAGCCAAAAAACCUCAUUAUGCAUUGCUACUCACAAAUGACCACUUCAAAGAACAUGCAAGUAUCUAUGUCAUUAACAAUUGCAAACAUAAGUUUCUUUUUACUACAGUUGUUGUAUGUAGUAUCACACAGUUCCUCAUUCUAUUCUCACUCAAUAAUAAGAAAAAUGAAAAGAAAAGAUAGAGACAAUGUGCCGCAAUUGCACUUCGGUGUCAUGGAUUCAGUCUGCCGCUUCUACAUCUCAUUAUCCUGUAGCACUCUUUCGCUAUCUUCUACCUCUGAAUAAAAACAGACCUUACUUGUUAGAGAAGCAAAUGUGAAACCUUAUUACAACAUGUAUGCUAAGUCGCUAACCCAUAGAGACAGCUAGAACAAAUGCGAAAACUUUCCAUGUUGCCGAGUAAGUAUAUGAGCACCCCUCAAAAGAUCAAUUAGCAAGUACUAGCUGCCAACCCGUGCAUCUGCACAGGCUAGCCUAUUUUAGUAGUUGUAUAUAAGCUGACCUUCUUUUAAAUUGGUUGGAAGAAUAAAUUAUAAUACUAAUCUGAAUACUUUUUUGGAAAUAAUAACAUGAAACCAUGCAUAUUGGUUACCGUGUGCCGGAAAUGAUACAUUCGUUUUCAAUUAAUUCCUGAUUGGAUAAUUAACAUAUAUUAUGUAUGGUUUAAAUUAUGUGACACAAAUAGUCUAUUAAGUUGUUAUAUAUUUUGGGAGUGGUUGGUAUAUCUGUACUCGCACUAUAUAUCAAAGAAAAAAAAGAUAGUAUACAUGAUAACAUGGCCAUAUCACCAAUAUUUGUAUCUCUAAUAACUGAAUCUCAUAGAGCCCUGAAUUAUUAUGUAACAUACCUUACUCUAAUGAGGGUAAAUAUAUAUUCUACCAAAAAAAACUACCUUCUCCAUUCAUAAAAUUGCGAGUCAAAUUCUUGUAUACUUGGCAAGUCCACUACCUAAAACCAUGUAUGUUGCAUUUAGUAGUGCCCAGUUGAUUCCUAUACAAAAUCAAAGAUAGUAAUAAAAAUAACGUGCAAAGUGGAGUAUGAUUUAGUGUAUCAUUCCAUAAAUGAUUCAGUGUAUUGUUAGGAGCAUUUAACUAUGAUUGUAUAUCGAACCAUUGAUGCAAAUUUAAGCAACACCAAAAGUCGUAUCAGUGUGACUUCGACAAACUCUAAAAUCCUCCAUGUGAUAUAUGAUGCAUCUUGAACAGAGAUACGAACUAUCCCGACUAAGUUUGAGGUAUACAGUAGGAAGUAUCUAAUAUAUAUUUUGGACACAAAAAAAUGUUAUUUAUGUUUAACGUAAAAAGAAGAUGCUAGCAACUAUGAUAUAUUUUCCCUGCAAAAAAAACAACAGCGACAUAUAUAUUAUUCCUCUGAAUUUUUCUGCCGAAACAUGGAGCGAACUAUAUCUUUUAAAUGAAAGAACUAUUCAUAUCCAUAACUGGUUUGGCAUAAUGCAUCAAGUCAUCUGCCGUCUCAUUUUACCUAUGACACCUUCCAUCCAAGUUUCAUAAACGCGUGCUUCUUCUAUAAGUUUAAGCUAUUUGUGAAGUAAAUAAUGAGGACAUCUAUUGGAGUUCACGGAGCUUACCAAACAAUCUGCAGUGCUGAUUUUUUCAGACAUGACUCGGGGGCGCCAAGAGCCCAAUAUCCCUUCCUAGAUCGGAUUUGGUCUUACAUUAGUAUCGGUAGUGUGAGCUUCCAUCUUGCCUUAUCCAUGUGUACGCAGCCAGAGGUAAUUAAGCAUAUAUAUGCACGUGUGUAUCAUCUCUUUUGACUUAGACUGAUCCUCAGGUACAUGCAUCCAAAGAACAAAGCACUGAUAUGUGCCACUGAUGGGUACAUCGGUAGCAAGCUGUAUGUGCACCAUGGGUCGCCCAUUCUCCAUUGAUACGAUAUGCCAAUGUAUGAGAAAAAGUGCUUCUAGGUCCUGAUGCAAAAUUAUGAACUCAUGAUUAUUAUCCAAAACCAUAAUUUAAACCCUACUUAGCAUGAAAACAGAUGUAUCAGAUAGAUUGAAAUGCUUCUCUGCUUCUUAUUACUCUGUUGCAGUGGAAAUUUGUCAGAUGUGCACCCAAUUCUUGCACAAAAUAUACUGAAGAAUUGCCAACGAAAUAACUAUACAGAAUUUAGGAACUGUUACGACAUUUUUCUGGUCAAAAUAAAUAUAAAUAUGGAUGUUGCAGUGGAAUUUAGGAGCAGUCUUUGUUGACAGUGGUGCAGGGUGUGAUGUUGGACAGACUGAAAAAGCUAUUGCCGUGCCAGGUAGAAGAGUGUUGGUACAUACCUUGAAGUGGACCCUUCUCUUGACCUCCUUGUUCGGCGCGUGGCACACUGACUGAAACAAUAACAAGACCAGGCACACAUGAUCAAAACACCUACAUGAUGCUUACUGCUGAUUGAUUGCAGUUUGCAAAUCUUCUACUGAUCUACAAGUAUAUUUCCCCCAAACUGGCUGUUCUCCCCCACUAUAUAAUGUGCUGUAUUGUUCUUGAGUUCACAUGUGCUUUCUUCUAUUCCAUCAGACCAGAUAUGCUUUUCUAUCUACAGCAGAAAAAACAUGGUAUAAUUUAAUUAAGUAAUCAUGAUGAACUACACUGAACUGAACAAAAGUCAUGGGGAAAUUUAGAAACAAGGCGUGUGCUCAAAUUAUCUACGAAAAACUGAAUACAGAUUCAAAUUGCACAAACGAAAUGAAAUGCUAUCAACCUGUGAUGUUGCUGAACUGAUGGGCAUAUCUGAGUAUGACUCGAGCUGUAAAACCUUCUGUUGAGCUGGGCCGAGGAGCUCGGGCGUCCCUCGUCUCGCCGCCGCUGCCGUCUCCUCUGCCACGUGAUGCCCCCGCCCGACAGCCGCCGCCUCCUCUGCCACGCGAUGCCCCCGCCCGACAGCCGCCGUCUCCUCUGCCACGUGAUGCCUCAUUGACUCGCUGCGCCUCCGCCUCUGCUCCCC